RNAcentral lists this ribosomal RNA (478 nucleotides) under uncultured bacterium. RNAcentral describes it as "partial 16S ribosomal RNA". It matches the Rfam family "Bacterial small subunit ribosomal RNA", at positions 28 to 523 of the family's 1533-position model. The record is from RNAcentral.
GACGAACGCUGGCGGCGUGCUUAACACAUGCAAGUCGAACGGUAAGGCCCUUCGGGGUACACGAGUGGCGAACGGGUGAGUAACACGUGGGUGAUCUGCCCUGCACUUCGGGAUAAGCCUGGGAAACUGGGUCUAAUACCGGAUAGGACCACUGCCUGCAUGGGGGGUGGUGGAAAGCUUUUGCGGUGUGGGAUGGGCCCGCGGCCUAUCAGCGUGUUGGUGGGGUGAUGGCCUACCAAGGCGACGACGGGUAGCCGGCCUGAGAGGGUGACCGGCCACACUGGGACUGAGAUACGGCCCAGACUCCUACGGGAGGCAGCAGUGGGGAAUAUUGCACAAUGGGCGCAAGCCUGAUGCAGCGACGCCGCGUGAGGGAUGACGGCCUUCGGGUUGUAAACCUCUUUCAGUAGGGACGAAGCGCAAGUGACGGUACCUACAGAAGAAGGACCGGCCAACUACGUGCCAGCAGCCGCCGUAA